UCCUUCGGGGCAAAAACUAAGUCUCCGAGUUUCCCGUUCGUCUUGGGAGUGGUGCUCCGGAGGAUGAGCGAGGCAGGAGUCGUAGAGAGAGAGAGAGAGAGACGAAGAGUAGCGAAUCGGAAUUGAAGAAGGAGCUGAUAAGGAGAGAGGGAGAAUGAGAGUGAGCGAGUGAGAGCCGAUGAAGGCAGCAUUCGGAUAGAAAUACGAAGUCAGGCAAUCGUUAGACGAUCGUGAUUAAUUUCGCUAAUUAAUUGUCGAAGAAAUGAGGAAAUGAAGAGCAUUUAUUACUCGGCCGCGAGUCACGGGCAAGGAGGGCUCCUCGGUGCCAGAGGGUGUCAGACCCUCCAGAAGCUUCAUUCAUCUCAGGAAAUCCCUGUGAAGUGGGCUCUUUAAAUUGAAACUCAAAUACGUGCCAACUGGAAGGGCGGGCGUGAAAAAGACCCAUUAAAUUGGUUAUUUUUCACACCCUCGUGGUACCUAACGUCGUAACGGCAUUCGGGGACGAUAUCGUACGAAAUUCCGAAACUCUCCGCUAGGAGUCGCCAGCGUGAUCGAUAGUCCGUCCGCAGACACUCUAAACCUUAGCUUACCGUAAUGGAGAGUACCGCUUCGAGUUAUUGACAGUUAACUUCGAGUCUCUUGUGAGUACCAUUGCCAUUGAGUGCUGGCAUUCUCAAGUAUACCCCGGUCAAGUUCCUUAUUUCACCGGUUUUACAGGAGGACAGCGUGGAAUACAAAUAAUCAUCCCGCACUGUGGCAAGAAUAAUAUUUUAAGGCUAGAAAUACACGUACAAUUUUUACCUCUUGUCUCGCCCAACAUAAAUAUACAUAACAAAGACAAUAUUUUGUUAAAAGUACCAGACGCCCCGAGCACUCUCUGGAUUACUUGUACGAUUCCAUUUAUUAUAGAAAAAUCAAAAUAAAACUGAACUAGUAGAAACUGCGAGUAAAACCGAGUCAGAUUUAACAUGCCAGUAUCCUCCGUUGUUUCGCUGACUCCAUAUUUUGUUAUGUAGAUCGUGUUACCGAAUAGCUAACGCCUAUAGUCGUAUACUGUAUUCGUUUACGAUGCUGUGAGUGUAAGAUAUUUCAAUUAGAUAUACCCAGGGAUCAACGUCUCGACUUGUGUAUUGUGUACAGAGCUGUGUUCAGUGAUUUUUCGACGACUCUAUACACAGCCAAAUGUGCGCGUGAUAGAUUCACUGAGGGUAGGCGGUCUGGUCGUGAUUAGCUAAGCUUAUGAUUAAUUAUUAUACCCACCGUUGACUCUCGUAUCCUCGUAAGCCCUUACCUACACAAGCAUCCCCUCCAUACACAUUUCAGUACAAUAUUAUCCUGUAAUAGUAAUUACGUAUACAUAGCAUGCAUUGUGACAGUGAAAGAUUUUCGUGUGAACACAUCCUUAGCUUAAUCGUUCUCAACUGCCUAUACUCGUAUCAAGUAUAGCUUUACCAUUGAAUCAUUUGUCCAAGUCACAAUUUACCAAUUUUCUUUGCCGCCGACUGAUUUCUUCCUACAAGAAUCGCGCGGUCCUCGUGACCGAGUAUCUUAUCAACCACAGUUGAAGAGUCUCGACGUUAUCGGCCCUAAGGACACUUGACGUUUUCAAAGGAGAUUCCUGCCGCACUUCACUCCUUGGGAUUACUGGCGGUACAAUCGGAUCACAGAUUCACAGGGAGACGUUCGAGAACGGAUUGUGAUAAAUCGUAGAUUUUACGAUGCUACCCAGGAUAUAGGCGAGUCAUAGAUGGAGCUUCGAGACAUGUAGAGAGGUAUGAGCGGACCUUGGUCGGGGCUGAGAAGACUCUAGCACGAGAUCCUACCUGGGUCUUGUAGGUCAUACUCGUACCGGAUCCUCUACAGGAGCCAGCGGCUCUGUAUCCUUUGCCCGUAAAUGUAGCUACGUAACCAGGUUUUGUGGAGUAUCGGUAUCCUCCCUGUAGAAUCUCCAGUAGACCUCGCAGAACUUCUCAUACGUUUCUGGCUUCACCUGGUCUAGGGUUCUACCGUAAGAGACAUAAGUCGUGUGGGGGCGCACAUGCCUGGCAUACACGUUGCUCUGCUACUUCUUCCAAUCUCUAUUCCGCAGGGCUACUUAAUAUUGCAGCGUAUUACUCCACGGUGCACGCUAGCUAUGCGACUGAAUUCAUAUACCGGGUGUGCUCCUUUUCCUGAUCCUCACGAGUUCAGACUGAUUCUACCCCGAGAAAUUUUCGGACGAACCCUGGUUUCUGAUCAAGUUCAUACGCACGCUUAAUGAUGAUUGGCGCAAACGUCCCAGUGCCACUUUGCUGACAUGAUGUAUCUUGCUGGUAACUGAGGAACAUGCAGCAUCCAUUUGCUGAAAAUUUCAUCUCGCUGUAUUACGUCUGCUGUAAUGGAUGGUCGCUGUUUGCCAGGAUGAAAAAAACUUAGCGUACCUUCAUAGAAAUCAGAUUGCGUCCAGUGACUUAUUUUAUUUGUAUCCGAGACACAUGGGCCUGGAAAAUCGGGGUAUGGCGCCCAAGAGAAACUGACCCCUCGAACCUUAGACGUGCUUAUUGAAUAUUAAACGGAUCUUCGGUUCCCGUGGGGGUCCGUAUAAAUUAUACAGGCGUUGUACUUUGCCUGCCCGGAGUGCAGUUCGGCUCCUUUCGUGGUUCGGUAAUUGAAUUUUCAAACGGUAUAAGCGCUUUAAGACUUUAUGUGCACUUUGCGUGAUUGUACGUAGAUAUUUAUGCUUGCGGUUUUUCAUAUCGUGGUUUGUAAUUUGAUAAAAUUACAAAAUUCAGUAAUCGUACGUCCGGGCCUGUAUUCAAUGGGAUAUCCAAAUUAUUUGGAUGUAUAGUGACUCUUUAUAUUUUAAAAAUUUUUAUAUUCUACUCCCACUGUGGUUUCUAGAGUAAUGCCCAUAUACGGGCGCAUCGUUAACACUCGUUUCUACAUCCUCGUUUCUAUGUCUGCGGUAAUAGCGAAACCGCGAAACUUUGUAAUUGAAACUAUCCCGAUAUGCUUCUGACCGCUAAAUCGUAGGAUUUCGUAUGGCCAUAAUAUACAGCCAGGAGUUUGUAACUGAUACAAGAGCUUUGUCUGUCAAAACUAAGGAAGAACAAAUAUCAUCAUUAAAUCUCUUUUGACAGAGACUUAUGCUAGUUGGGAUACGUUAGAACAAACCAUUCUCCAGCAGCGACUAGAGUUAAAAAUUACAAGACAAACCAAAUAACGAAAAAAAAAAUUUUUAAUCUUAUUACCAUAAGCAUUUCUAUAAGCAUCCGGCUAAAUAGUAAUAUAUUUAUACAAUGUGCUAGAUUAAUAUACAGUGGAUGUAUCGAUUUGAUUUUCGAUCUGAAGGGUUACAUGAUAUAUGGUACUCUUUUUUUUGGUUAACCACGUAAACCAUGUAAAGUCGAUUCUACCAUGCACGACCACACGUGGCAGAGCCUCAGUGUAUGCCUUCUGCCACAUCGUGGAUGCUGAUCUCUUGUUGCCGAAAGUGCAGAUCUUUUUGGGUUUAGACUGAGGUAGGGAUUAUAGAAUUACUUAGGUAGGGACAGCCAAUGUAAAUACUGAAUGAAGUAGGUACCAGGAACGUUAUAUAUAUAGUCACUGCGGCUUGUCUGGUAUUAUAUAUGUAUCGUCUCGAAGAUCCUAGAGACAGAUCCUGAGGAAUGCUGAGCUUUCUAAAGCACAGUCGUAGCACAGAUCGGUAAGAGGCAAAUAAACAACGCAUUGUCAUAUAAAUUAUUACACUAGAACGCGUUACUUUUAUGAGCAACGCACGACGCUCGACAUAAGCAGUUUAUGAGAGCACAGUAAACCCUACGUGACGAUAUUGUCGAGUGACAUAACGUUCACGAAGAGUUAACCUAGACCAGUUUUUAUCGGGAUAUCCAUAUCCUGAUCAUAUUGUACAUACGCGUCCUUGGACGAAAAAAGGAAAUAUUUCAAAUUGAACUUAUUCAUAGGAAUAUAAUUUUUUUCUUCACUGAUGUAAUUCCUCGAGAAAACAAGACUGCGAGUAAAAACUUUAUUUUCAGGUUAGUAUAUAUAUAUAUAAGAUUAAAAAGA
This is a long non-coding RNA of Cephus cinctus (wheat stem sawfly), 4047 nucleotides long. RefSeq lists it as uncharacterized. Lineage: Eukaryota; Metazoa; Arthropoda; Insecta; Hymenoptera; Cephidae. The transcript is spliced from 3 exons. The record is from RefSeq and is a predicted model, not a curated record.